GAGGGUAUAGCUCAGUGGUAGAGUGCAUGCUUAGCAUGCACGAGGUCCUGGGUUCAAUCCCCAGUACCGCUA
Molecule: transfer RNA, 72 nt
Filed under: Camelus bactrianus (Bactrian camel)
Lineage: Eukaryota; Metazoa; Chordata; Mammalia; Artiodactyla; Camelidae
Also listed under: 2 other names
Rfam family: tRNA
About the family: Transfer RNA (tRNA) molecules are approximately 80 nucleotides in length. Their secondary structure includes four short double-helical elements and three loops (D, anti-codon, and T loops).
Source: Rfam by way of RNAcentral